This is a long non-coding RNA of Dromaius novaehollandiae (emu), 9703 nucleotides long. RefSeq lists it as uncharacterized. The record is from RefSeq and is a predicted model, not a curated record. The transcript is spliced from 4 exons. Lineage: Eukaryota; Metazoa; Chordata; Aves; Casuariiformes; Dromaiidae.
UCACCCCUCCCUUCUCCCGCCGGAACUACGCAGCCAGCCCCGGCGACGCGACGUCCGGGGCGGCCGCGGGGCCUGUGGAGCGGCGCGGCCGAGGGGGCGCGCGGGGCGGCGGGGGGCGCGCGGCGCCAACGGUUGCUAACGGUCGCUAACGGUCACUGUGGGCAGGCGGGAGCGCUCUGUGGCGGGGGGCGCGCGGGCGGGCUGCGGCCCCGCGCUCUCCUUCGCGGAGCGGGGGGCGGACGGGGGCCGCUUUCCCCUUGGCCCCCGGAGGCGACGGCCCGGCAUGGAGCCGCUGCUAGAGGCGGGCGAACGGGGCCGGGUUCGCGGGCGGCCGCCUCUCCCUCAGCGCCUCGCGGCUGGCCUGGCCCGGGCCCGCGCGCAGGUAGGGCGGUCCCGGGCGGGGAAGGGCUGCAGGUGGCGGCAGGGCCUGGACGAGGAGCCCGGGCUUUUACUAGGUGGCUGGAUCUAGUUGGGGAAAAACAGAGCCGUUACUUUCAGCUCUUCUGGUCACAGGCUGGUGCCUUCUCGUUUCUGAGCCUUGAGGAAGUGUUUGAAUCGUGUUUUCGAGCGCUUCAUCUGUGGCAAGGGGGACAAGAAAUUUAAAAAAAAUUCUCGUGCAGUCAUCUGAUUCCAGAGGAGGGAACUGUAAGGAAAACACCAAAUCUUGCAGCAGGUGUUUGGUUGUACCAAUCUGGUCUGGCAGCGCACAGAAUGUGUGUGUCUGUGCAUGUGGUACUUCAAAGCUGGGAGAAGACGACUGUAUUCUUACUCACUGCAGUCAGAAGAUGAAGGAUUUAUUUUUCAGUCUUGUGCAAUCUGCAGAGUGAAAUAUUUUGUCAGUUGUCCUGUACCCUUUCAUCUAAAGGAAUGUGUGAUGCCAGAAACUCAGCACAGAGUUUGAGCAUCUGUCCUCAAUUCCUCGAUUUCUGUGUCUGUGAAAUGCCCAUUACUAUGCAAGGAGCUAUAGUCCUGUCCCAGUAGGUAAACAUUCACCAUUCUAUUGCAGCCAUUUAAUAAAGCAACUUCAGAUUAAGUUGUAGCCUAGAUACCUAAUAUUAGAGACAACCGAUUUCUUCCUGCAUUUCAAGAAAAGACAUUCCAAACAUAUGGACACAGUUAUCCCAUGUAUAAUGCUAGAGCAACCUUUGUUUCCAAAGCCAGGAAUUUUUCUUAGGUCAGCCAACUUCUCUUCGUUGGAUUAGUCAUUCUCAGCUUCCUUGGAACUCGCUAUUUCUGAGGCUUGGUGCUGGUUUUGCAUACCUGGUAUCUGUAGUAUGAGCACUGACCUGAACUGAGGCACUGAGAGUGGGUUUGUAAAAUCUGUCAUUUUUCUUGAGUGAAUUUGGUCAUAAAUGCCCACGGCACAGUAUGGAUUGAAGAGAGCAGUGGCUCAGGAAUGGUAGAUAUGUCAAUGUCACUGAAGACAGAAGUGUUUCAUGGUUUAGCAGCAGCCCUUGCACCACUUAGCCAUUGCUGCUAGAGAAAGCUCUUCCUAAUCAUUAUACCACGCGGUCUUUGGAAGCGGCUCCAUUUCACUGUUCAGCUCCAGAAUGCCAUGCUAUUAGAGACCUGUUGUAUUAGGCUACUUAGAUGCUCUCUUGAGAAGGGCGGGUUGUUCAGAGAUGUGAGAUGAAGGGCCCAAAAUAUGAGAGGGUGAAUUGCCCACAGUAAAGGCAAGCUGUGGAAAGUGUUAACAAGAGACUUAAUCUAGGUAAGCAGUGAAACAUUAUUCUCCGGUCAGCUGCUGCAUGUAGUAUAGGGGCAUUAGCAGGUGGUAUUGGAAAGACUUUUUGCCUUUCUUACCAAAUGGGCAUUCUCUCAACCUGACUGUUUGGAAUUAGGCAAUUAUGGUAUUAGUUCCAUGAACAAAUGAGUUUCCAUCCAUUCAGACAUCUUUCCCUGUUAGUAAAAGCAAAAGGAUGGGUGACUGCGUCUUGCUUCCCUCUUUUUCUGGGUGCUGUGAGGCUGCAUCCUUACCCUGAGUCUCUGUAGAAGAAGUGGUAAGUUCUUCACCUAUCAGACCUGGGGACAUAAAGACAAAUUUAGCAAUUUUGCUGCUUUCCCUUUUCCCUGUUAUUUCAGGAUGAAGAAUUAUGUGGGGAGUCUUGCUGUGUUUCUAUGAUCUGUACUGAGAGAUGAGUCCCUAUAAUGUCACCAGAGAGCAUUCCUGAAACCUAUGCAUGGCCACUUCUUAUACAGGCAUAAAUGUGAUCCUACCUAGAACAGGUCAAAGCUUGUAAUGCUGUAGUUACAUGCAGUUGAAUUAUUGCAGUGCAUACACAUUUUAUAAAGGCAGAUAGCAUACAGUCUUUUAUGCUUAUGUCACCUGAACGAGCAUCAUAAAUAAAAACAGUACGAACUCUUCAACCAGUGGUUCACUGACAAUAUAUUUUGCUAAACGUGUACUGUUGUCAUAGAAUUAAUUGUCUUGGAUGACAAAAAGUCAUAUGUUGCCCUGAACAAAUUGAUGUUCAGCUACAGAUGUCACUGAGUAAUCCAGAAAAUAAGAGUUUAUAAAAAUGGCUAGUGUACCUCAUGUUUCUACACAAAUGUUCAGUCUAUCACAAUUGUGAUGUGUGACCAGUAACAUUCUAAAAUGUGUUGAUCUGGUUCAAUGAAUGAUUUUCUGUAGUAAUUGGAAAUUUUGGGGGGAGAUAAAUUGCAUUAUAAAUAUUCACUGACCAUUACAUACAUAAAUGUAUAUAAAAGAAGUAAGGAACAAUUUGCAGCAAUGAUACACAUUGGGACUCAUUUCAGAACAGUAUGGCUAAUUGGUGCAUAUACUAUUGAAUUCUUCUGGGUUCAUUUUGACAUACAGGUACACCAACAGUACAUGCAAUGACAUCCAUAGGUAAAAAGCUGGCAGUCACACUUAAAAAUAUAUGAUUGGACACUACAGUUGUAUACUUUUUUAUGUUAAAUAAUAAACCACAGAUCUUUGACAGCUUGUUUUGACAAAGCAGUGUAAAGGGCAUAUAGGGCACCUUAGGGAAAUAUGAAGUGUAUUCUAUGAGUAGCAAAUUCUGGAAUUCCUCUUGUUGAGUGGGUGGGAGCGCUCGACCUUGCCCUGUUUCUUUGUAAUGGUUGCAGGGGCUUGUAGCAAUUUUUCUAUAUCCCCUAAUACAGACUGGGGUGUAGCUACCCACAAAAUAAUGUGAAGCAGCCUGGCUUCAAUUUUAAGAAGGAACAUUAGCAGAACAAUGAAACUAACUCUAUUAUUUUUAUUUAAUUUGAAAGCCAUAAAAUGACUUACCAGGGUAAUCAUGUUAUCGUCUUUAAUUUCCUUUUCUGCUAACAAUAUUCAACACUUUGGGAUGACCUAGUUUAAAACAGCCAGUGUCAUAAAUCCCCAUUAAAAUAUCUGUAAAUAAGAUACAUGUUGUUUCUCCACUAUUAGAUUUUGAAUGCAACUUUAUAGUUAUAUUAAGCCAGUUUCAGCAGGCUGCAUCUCCAAUGUACAGCUGGAAAGGUUGUCAUUCACAUUCAACUUACUUUAUUCUAUUGCACUGCACAUAUUUAUUCCAUUAUUCUACAUUAACAUCUCUCUUUUCUUUCUUUCUUUCUUUCUUUUUUAAACAGAAAUACAGUCUUGCGUUAAACAGAGCUCAGACUUGACUGGCAUCCUCUAACAUGUCCUCCUGGUGUUGCACCUUAGGCCUUCCUUGUUCCGAUUUUAUUUUUUUAUUGUAGUUUAAGUGUUCAGGAUUGUCACUGUGGAAAGUUUGGUUCUAUCUUGAUUUUCCUCUCACUCAUAUUACAGUAUCACACAAGACUCUUAUGAGUCACAUGUUACGCCUUGGAUACUUCGAAACACCUGUAAGUUCAGAAGCUAAAUCUAGUGCAAUUGGACAUUGUAAUUUGGUGUAAAUAGACUAUUUUGCUUCUGAUUUUGUGCUGACAUCAGUACCAGUUUUAUUACGAUGAAAUUAUUCUCAAUUUCCAUUACUGUAUGCAAGAUAAAGAUCAAGCUUCAUAUCUUCUGACUCAGUGUAUGAUUUCUGCAGUAAAAGAUGACCUUUAGUUUGUAUUUUUUAAAUACUAUGGUUAAGUACACAAAGUAACAUUCAGGCUCAGCUAAGUCUAUAGCUCCCUGAAGAAGUGAGUGGUUAAGAAUGGAAUUUACAAAAGAUAGCAUUCUUAGUGGAGACUUAAUAUAAGAGACCAAAGUAGGGAGUAGCUGAAGUAGGAAACUAUUAAACGCUUUAGUUCAUAUACUUCUGAGAGGGUUAGACAUCUAAGUCAAGGUUUUGGAGAAGCAUGUAUCUCUGAAUUCACAGAUCUGAGCCACCUUCUGGAGUGAGAUGCUCUAGCCAGAUUACUUUUUUCAUAGAAAGAGAGAAAUAGUCAUAAUGAAGAUGGGUUAAGGAGAAUAUUACUGUAGCCCAAGUCUUAGCUCUAACUAGCCCAAGGAAGGAGAGUCAGAUUCUAGUCCUGUUGAUGCUGAAUGCUUAGUCUGAGCAAAACAGUUUAGUUUUAGUAAGGGAGGCUGACAGGUCUCCACACCAGACUCUAUGACCUCAUGAUUAGGGCACAGCUGAGAUGGGAAAGAUGUAUUUCUCUCAGGCCAGGACAAGAAUUGAACCCAGGUGUGCUACAUUGCACUGUAAUAAGAGAUCUAGCCACUGAAGUAUUAGUUGAAAGGUGAUUCCUAUCCACAGCUUCUUUCUUUGUUUUCAGAAGGUAGCACACUGGUGCUUUGAGUAUGUCUUCAAGAUCAGCUAUCUCAAGGAAUGUAAGUGUGGAAAAUCUUUUUGUGAGUCCUGGGCUUAGACUAAAGAAAAAAGCUGAUUUAUGCAGUUCUAUCAAAACUUGGGUAGUUUUGUGCAUACUAAGAGUUUAGGAAGAGAAUUUUAGACUGAAUGUUUCAGACUGGCUAAGAAACUUUGUAAUCUAGCCAAGGAUUCUUACUGUACUAGGCACUGCACAGGCACAUAAUAAAAAAAUUCUGUUGUCCAAAACCCUUAAAGAUUUAUCAGAGAAGAUGCAAUGAAAUGACCUGACUGUUGUGACUCAGACAGAGGUAAAACCAGGAUGUAGAAGUGCAGUCUGGCUUGUAACCCUGCAUCCUCUGUAUCUUCUCAAAUCAAAGCAAUCUUUUUCUUACAUCUGGCUUUCCUGGUGCCUGUCUCUGUCCUGUGCCAAGAUAAAAGAACAAACAUAUGGUGGGAAGAGGAUACUGAAAUAAGCUGUUACUAAAAAUCUCAUCACAGAGAGGGUGAAUAAUAAAGUUGAAUUAAUGAAUUUCAGUUAAAAAAAUUGCUAGAGGUGCAACAGAAGUGUUUGCAUAGCUUGCCGGUGUUAAAUUCCUAGAAAACUAUGCAGCUUUACUGAUAGAGCAAGGGCAAAACAGAGGGGAGGGCAAAGAUAAUUCUUCUGGAAUUCUUGCUGGUGAUAUUGUCCUGCAGUACUAAAUAAGUCCCAAACUAGAAAAGGAUGGAGGAUCCUAAACUACUUGGCUCAAUGGGCGGUGAAACUUUUAGUAAUGUGGAAGUCAUUUGGGAACUAACUAGAAUUUUGCUCUUUCUGAAAGACCAGGAAGCAGGAUGAGUUUCCAUUUCUGCAGUGACUAAUUUCUUUUGCAUUUGGAAGCAAAGAUGCUUGAAAUUAUUAUUUCCUGUUUUUAACAGCCCCUUCUGAUCAAGGGGUGAGAAUGUGAGGAUAAAAGGUAUUAAUGGAUUUAAGGUUAUAUUAUUUCUAGUGAGAGAUCUGUUUGUGUGUAUCCACCUUGGGUUUGCUGUGCUCCAUGAAAAUGAUUCUUGAUCUUGGCUUUUCUUUCUGUUUUAACUCAGAGAAGUUGAAAUAUUUAAACACAGGUGUGUUAAAUUAGGGGAGAGAGACUUGCAGCUCAGCACUGAAUCUUUUAGGGAGAAUGCAUGAUAUCUCUUUGUCCAGGACAGCUUCUUCCUGAAACACUUCAGAAGCGGUGGUGUAGCUUUCUUGCAGAGUAAGGCCUCCUGUGAGUUCUAAUCUGUGUGAAGUAUGUGGUUCACUUGACCUUGUCUCCUCAUGAAAACAGAAGAUACUCUAGAGGGCUCGACUUGGUGCUAAAACGAGAUAAACUGAGGAUUGUGGGAGUAUAACAAGAGUGUUAGAAAGUAAACUUCAGUUUGUCAGCGUGCAGCAGAAAAUGUCAUCUGAUACGCAAAUACUGAAAAUCCUUGCUCCAAAGCAAGCAGCGUGCUUAAAGAUUGAGAUUAUGGGAGAUGACUGCGAACCCUAAGUACUACAGAAUUACUGAAAUUCCACUGCAAUAGAGCGUCUUAGGCAGAAGAUGCAGUGCAACACAAAACAAAGUCCUUGGUGGAAGGAAGAGAGUGCAGCUGUGUAGAAGAAUGGCACGUGCGUUCACAAGCUGCAGAUGCUCUGUCUGCAGGCAGAAUCAGCAUAUUCAUGAACGACUGGGAAAGGAGGUUGACAUGCAAGUGAUCUGGUUUGCUAGGGCCUUUGUUGUGGACAUGACCUAAUAGGGAGCAUGACCAGAAUGUCUACAGUUUUUCGUCAUGGGACCAAGCUGAUGUAGGAAAUAAGCUAUAUCAGGAGCCAAAGAAGCUGCAGACUGGAAGAUGAAGCAGGUGUGGCACAUCUGAGUGUGGAAUCCUCUUCACCUGAAUAUCUUACUGCUACAGAAUGGUUUUUGCCCAUUUCCUCUCGUCACUGGGUGCUGCUGAGAAGCAUGUGGCUCCAUCUUCUUUACUGUCAGGUAUUACCUUCAGGAGGACCUGACUUGGAAGCCCAGGCAAACCGUUUCCCCUUGAAUACGUAGUGACAUGUCUGCUUAAUCAGUUACAAUUUCUGCUGUAUUCGAUGGGUUAUGAAGGUCUGCCAUCUUCAGUAAUUGGACAUGGUACGUAGUGUGUUGUAUUGAAGACAGCAGGAAGAUUGGCCAAGCAGAUUCUGAAGAGCCCUCUUGCCGACAUAUACAGAAAUGAGUGCACAAUUUUUUAUGGCAGUCUGGCCCUUCGAUCACAGCUUAGGUUUAUGUUACAAUAUGUGAUUCACUACUUUAGCUAUAUGGCAUAGCAGGAUUCAAAUAAUAACAGUAUCAUCAUGAUGAUCUCAUUUAAAAAUCUCCAAAGACAGGACUUUCAGAAUUCGGAUUGAAAAUCACAUUUUUAUCUUGGGUUUUAUAAGUGUUUUUAUUCUGAUGGUGGAUGUUGUAUUUGUGUCAUCAAGGUGGAUGUGAAAAAUUUGGGGAUCUCUUCCUGACUGCCACUGAGUUCGAGAGUGAUUGGGGGUAAACUAUUUCUGCCUUAUGUUUCUCUUAACAGCUUUUGGCAUAUGUUUUCACCAUUUAUAUUAGUUAUUUCUGCAAAGUCUGUGUCAGAUGUGCUGGAAAAUCAAGGAGAAAAAUGACAUCUUCUGGAUCUCAUAUCUGUUUAACUGCCACCAAAUGGCACACUUUAUUAUUACCCACUGCAUUCUCUCCAUUUAUGAGGAGCAGUUCCAUUAUUAUUGCUUUAAUGCAAGCUUUUCUCCAGUGAUAGAAAUGUCACAUUAAUACAGGAGCACUGCCCAUGGACAAGAAUUGUAGAGGAAAACUGGCACAUGGGAAAAAGGGUUUUUUUUGGCUAGAUUUUGAUACGGGUAUUUCUGAAUACCAUAUUCAAACUCUGUUUCGGUCUCACUUUUGGAAGUUUCAGGUUUCUCUGAGGUCAAAGUUCCUUUGAUGUAGCACAGUAAAGGCCUAAAAAGAAAGGACAUAAAAGAAGUGAUUGCAAUUAAAAUUACUACCUUAUAAUAUGAAUUAUAUCGUGGAAACACUUUUAAAAGUCUCUGAAAUGUGAGACCAUUAUACGCAUACGAAUGGGACCUUUAUAGGCUUAAACUGUGUACCUGAAAUGUGUUAGUUACAACCUCUCAACCUUCUGAUGACAGGCUCUGCUUCAAGAAGAAAUGCUUAACUCUGUUAAGCCAUAAAAUGAGCGAAAGAACACCGAAGAAAAGAAAUCGUAUGAUCUUGAUAGGAUAAUUAGAGGUUCUCUAGACUAUAUAGCUCAAGUGAAAGAAGUUGAGGAGUGGGGUGGGGUGUCAGGAUUAUCACUAGACCAGUCAUUCCACUCAGGUGCUUCUUAGUGGAACCUGAAAUUUUUGAGGAAAAGCGCAAGCUCAUUUGUCCUUAUCAGCAAAUAUGUCCAAAGUACUGUCAACUGUCAAACCUGAGAAGUGCUGUACGUACUGUACCCUGACAGUUCAGUCAUAAUGCCAUGAGGUUGUUUACUCUGCUUUUGUAUCUUAAGAGUUAUACAGGUGUCUGCCUUGUGGGAAGAUAAAAAGGGUGGGGGUUAAGAGGGAGGGAAUGUUUAACAAGUUUUUUUAAAAAAGCACAGCAGAGAUCUUCAUUGCAGUAAACAGCAGUUGAUACGCUGAGGUGUAGGUGUAAGCUUAUCCACUGACCAGUGUUGAGAUACCGACAUUUGUAACAAUGGUUGUCUGUGUAACGGUUACAGAACUUGCAACCCAGCUAUCCUUGAAAUAGUUGAAAAUGUAAAUCCAUCUCAGAACAGAUGGGAGCUGGCAGUAUUUUAGACCACGUGCUUUUAGACCACAUUCAGGUUUUACUGAAGGCAGGCUGCAUGCCCAUUUCCCGCCCAAUUUUAUUUUGAUAUAUAGACACAGGAGUAUUUGUUUUUGUCUUGGCUUCAAGAUGUCAGUCUUGUGUUUGUUUAAGAGAAUAACGGAAAUGCUGACUGGAAAGGACCCUAUUGAUCAUCUUGUUCAACCUCUUGCAUGAAGCAGGAGCACUUCACUGAAAACUGCACUGUGUAAUUCAAAACUUCAGGAGGUCAGUGUACUGCUGGAAAUGCUGGGCUCUUUGGCAGUGAUUAGGGAGAGCAAAGGUAGUUAUAGACAUUCAUGAUAAAGUAAGCUAUCCUAACUUUAACUAAUCAGAAUACUCCUGCCUGAGCUGUGAGAUACUUUGGAUGCUUUGGAGUGGCAAGAUUUCAAUAAGAAAAAGAGUCUGAACUAAAACACUCUUGGCAUUUUGAAAUCUUGCUGCAACUCUGGGGCUUGCCUCAUGCCUAUGAAAAGGACAGGAACAUGCCUGAGCUCUGGGGGAAAUUUAGUAGUAUUUUUACAUUUUGCUGUUUGCAGUUGCACUGCACAAUCCCAAAGCAGUGUGACCAGCUGAACUGGGUGGACAGACUGCCCACAUCUAACAAAACUGAUUGUGGGAAUGUAGUUUGUUUCUUUCAACAGCCUGUAGAUGGAGCAGCAUGUAGCUUAUUCCCCAGGGCAUUUUGGCUAAAUCUACUUUAUGCAGAAUAUAUCAGAAUACUUUGGGUGCCUGCUUUAUCUUGUACCAGUGGAUGGGUGCAAAGCCCCAGUGUAGUUUCAGGAAUGCUGGUCAUACUAAUAGACUUUCACCACAGAAUGUGUUUAAGAAAGUUCUUCAUCAAAGGAAACAGAGGAGUGUUAGAGUGUUCUCAUAUUGUAUGUUGAACAUAUUUUUUCUAACUCAAAAAGUAAAUGAGGUUGCUUUGUAAGGAUAUGAUUCACUACUUAACUUUCAGCUGAAAAGAACAAUGGUUUGAGGUGAACAAUCCUACUGUUUUGCGUUUUAGUGUUAAUUUCCCUAACAGUUUGUUUAAGUGCAUUUUUUGCAACAGAUUAUUUUUCAUAAGGUUGUAAAGUUAUAUUGCAAUGUUAACUCUGAUUUUCUGAUGUUUGCUUGAGUUCUUGUUAUGCUCUAUAUAUUUAAUUA